GGCGGUAGGCCUAAACAUGCAAGUCGAACGGCAGCACAGAGGAGCUUGCUCCUUGGGUGGCGAGUGGCGGACGGGUGAGGAAUACAUCGGAAUCUACUCUGUCGUGGGGGAUAACGUANGGAAACUUACGCUAAUACCGCAUACNACCUACAGGUGAAAGCAGGGGAUCUUCGGACCUUGCGCGAUUGAAUGANCCGAUGUCGGAUUAUCUAGUUGGCGGGGUAAAGGCCCACCAAGGCGACNAUCCGUAUCUGGUCUGAGAGGAUGAUCACCCNCACUGGAACUGAGACACGGUCCAGACUCCUACGGGAGGCAGCAGUGGGGAAUAUUGGACAAUGGGCGCAAGCCUGAUCCACCCAUACCGCGUGGGUGAAGAAGGCCUUCGGGUUGUAAAGCCCUUUUGUUGGGAAAGAAAUCCAGCUGGCUAAUACCCGGUUGGGAUGACGGUACCCAAAGAAUAANCACCGGCUAACUUCNUGCCANCAGCCGCGGUAAUACNAAGGGUGCAAGCGUUACUCGGAAUUACUGGGCGUAAAGCGUGCGUAGGUGGUCGUUUAAGUCCGUUGUGAAAGCCCUGGGCUCAACCUGGGAACUGCAGUGGAUACUGGGCGACUAGAGUGUGGUAGAGGGUAGCGGAAUUCCUGGUGUANCAAUGAAAUGCGUANAGAUCAGGAGGAACAUCCAUGGCGAAGGCAGCUACCUGGACCAACAC
RNAcentral lists this ribosomal RNA (712 nucleotides) under Stenotrophomonas geniculata. RNAcentral describes it as "bacterial SSU rRNA". It matches the Rfam family "Bacterial small subunit ribosomal RNA", at positions 38 to 740 of the family's 1533-position model. Lineage: Bacteria; Pseudomonadati; Pseudomonadota; Gammaproteobacteria; Lysobacterales; Lysobacteraceae. The record is from RNAcentral.